This is a long non-coding RNA of Eurytemora carolleeae, 243 nucleotides long. RefSeq lists it as uncharacterized. The record is from RefSeq and is a predicted model, not a curated record. Lineage: Eukaryota; Metazoa; Arthropoda; Copepoda; Calanoida; Temoridae. The transcript has 3 exons.
ACCCGAUGGAAUCCCAACUAAAUGUAAUUCUUCAAAAAACUGACGAAAGUGGAGUUCUUCAAUAUAUCAAGAAAUCUAAAAUUACAAGGCUAGAGGAUGCGGAGCGUCUGCAUUGCACUGAAUCGAUUGAAUUUAAUCGACUUGAUCAUGGCUCAUUUCGAGGCUUCUUCACUGUUCUUGGGGGAGGAAUAGUAUGUUCCCUGUGUUUCCUGGCUGUAGAGAUUUGUGUUAGGUCAUACAAGA